Molecule: transfer RNA, 86 nt
Filed under: Crocinitomicaceae bacterium
Lineage: Bacteria; Pseudomonadati; Bacteroidota; Flavobacteriia; Flavobacteriales; Crocinitomicaceae
Description: tRNA-Leu
Rfam family: tRNA
About the family: Transfer RNA (tRNA) molecules are approximately 80 nucleotides in length.
Source: RNAcentral
GCCCGAAUGGCGGAAUUGGUAGACGCGCACGACUCAAACUCGUGUUCUUAAAAAGAGUGUGGGUUCGAUUCCCACUUCGGGCACCA